AAGGAAGCAGCUAUUUAAAGUUUUUUUUCUGCCGAAAGAAGAUUUGUGAUUUUUUUUUUUUUUUUUUCUCCCUCCUGUGCAGAUAUCACUUUUGGAAACACUGUGAUUCUGAGAGAAAGGAACAAGAAAAGUGGUGGUAUUGUGUGAAUGGAAGAGAAGAUUAGACAAGCUGAAGAAUUUUCUCCAGCAAAUAUGCUCUGGUGAUUUAGCAGUUCUUGGAACUAGUUCAUUAUCUCCAUAUAAACAAAAUGUUGUUUACAUAACCCUCCGUUUUAUCUGCUGCUCUUCUUCUGUGCUGCACUACAAAGGUAAAAGGUACUGAAAUCUUACAGAAGAAAGCUGAAUAAGGAUUUAGGACUACUCCAAACUGGGAUGAAUUUGCUACAGGAUGGGAAAGAACUGUUGCAAGGAAAAAAAGUCUGUCAAGCUGGUUGAUUGAACAUCACAGAAAGCUACAGAAACUGCACCCAGGACUUUUCAAAGUGGUGUGCUCACAGCUGUGCGGCUGGAAAUGCUUCCUUCACCGACUGAAAUAUUUGCUUGGCUCAGCAGCCCCAGGCACCUCAUGGUUGAGCUGCAUUUCUCACACUUCUAGUCGAGCCUCACCCACGGGGAUCAGCAGGGCACCUGAGGGUCUGUAUCAUCGGGGUAACACAAAUCUUGUCGUCCCUUUACCAGUGAAGACAUCAUCCCCUGGCAUUCCCACUGAAAUUCCCACUGAGGUUUCAGUUAGCCGGCUUUUAUAUCCAAAACCUUCCCCAAGAACCGGGUGUACAAGAACAAGGACAGGACAAUAGGAAAUGGCCUCAUGUUGCACCAGAGGAGCUUUCGAUUGGAUAUUAGGAAAAAUUUUUAUGCUGAAACGGUUAUUAAGCAUUGGAAUGGGCUGGCCAGGGAAGUGGUUGAGGCACCAUCCCUGGAGGUGUUCAAAAGACAGGUAGACAGUGCAUAGAGCCAGGGUUUAGUGAUGGUUUUUGUCAGUAUUGGGUUGAUGGUUGGACUUGAUGAUCUGAACGGCCCCUUCCAACCAAGGUAAUUCUACGAUUCUAUCAUUUCAUGCCUCAAUGCUCUGGCACGGACAUGAUAGCUGCACUUUAAUGUUUGAAUGGUUGUAGCAUCUUACAAGCUUUUUUUUUUUUUAAAAAAAUAAAUUAAAAUUACACCGAACA
Molecule: long non-coding RNA, 1169 nt
Filed under: Calidris pugnax (ruff)
Lineage: Eukaryota; Metazoa; Chordata; Aves; Charadriiformes; Scolopacidae
Description: lncRNA (ENSCPUG00000004127.1)
Source: RNAcentral